RNAcentral lists this ribosomal RNA (253 nucleotides) under uncultured bacterium. Its description in RNAcentral is "partial 16S ribosomal RNA". It matches the Rfam family "Bacterial small subunit ribosomal RNA", at positions 524 to 776 of the family's 1533-position model. The record is from RNAcentral.
UACGAAGGAUCCAAGCGUUAUCCGGAUUUAUUGGGUUUAAAGGGUGCGUAGGCGGAAUAGUAAGUCAGUGGUGAAAGCCUGUCGCUUAACGACAGAACUGCCAUUGAUACUGCUAAUCUUGAGUAUAAUUGAAGUGGGCGGAAUGUGUCGUGUAGCGGUGAAAUGCUUAGAUAUGACACAGAACACCGAUUGCGAAGGCAGCUCACUAAACUAUAACUGACGCUGAGGCACGAAAGCGUGGGGAUCAAACAGG